AGGGGUGUAGCUCAGUGGAAGAGUGUUUGCCUAGUGUGUGCAAGUCCCUGAGCUCCAUCCUCAGCACCAAAA
RNAcentral lists this transfer RNA (72 nucleotides) under Marmota monax (woodchuck). RNAcentral describes it as "tRNA.Thr". Lineage: Eukaryota; Metazoa; Chordata; Mammalia; Rodentia; Sciuridae. The record is from RNAcentral.